AUACGGAGGGUCCAAGCGUUAUCCGGAUUCAUAGGGUUUAAAGGGUUCGUAGGCGGAUAAAUAAGUCAGUGGUGAAAUCCCGAAGCUCAACUUCGGAACUGCCAUUGAAACUGUUUAUCUUGAAUUUAGUUGAAGUGGGCGGAAUAUGACAUGUAGCGGUGAAAUGCAUAGAUAUGUCAUGGAACACCAAUAGUGAAGACAGCUCACUAAGCUAAUAUUGACGCUGAUGAACGAAAGCAUGGGUAGCGAACAGGAUUAGAAACCCUAGUAGUCC
This 274-nucleotide ribosomal RNA is filed under the name uncultured bacterium. RNAcentral's name for it is "partial 16S ribosomal RNA". It matches the Rfam family "Bacterial small subunit ribosomal RNA", at positions 523 to 796 of the family's 1533-position model. The record is from RNAcentral.